RNAcentral lists this long non-coding RNA (1079 nucleotides) under Cyanistes caeruleus (blue tit). Its description in RNAcentral is "lncRNA (ENSCCEG00000001231.1)". The record is from RNAcentral. Lineage: Eukaryota; Metazoa; Chordata; Aves; Passeriformes; Paridae.
GGGAAAGGUGUGAAAAUGAUAAAAACAUACAUGGAAAACAUGGAAAAUGGGGGGAAAUAUAUGGGAAAUGAAUAAAAAAAUAUAUGGAAAACACAGAAAAUGGAUAAAAAGCAGCCGGGAGGAAGAAAAUGAGAGAGAAACACGCGGGAAAACACAGAAAAUGCAGGAAAAACACCAAAAUCCACGCAGGGAGCGCAGGGAGUGCAGGGGAAGUGCAGGAAAUGCACGGGAAGUGCAGGAAAUGCAGGAAAUGCAGUUUUGCACACCCGGCCGGGAUGCCCAGGUGUGCCCGGAGUUCACACGCGCUCAGGGUGAACUCACAGGGGAUUUGUACACCCAGAGAGCACACUCACACUCGGAGCGCACACUCACACUCACAGAGAUCACACUCACAGAGCUCACACUCACACUCGGAGCGCACACUCACACUCACAGAGAUCACACUCACACUCACACUCAGAGCUCACACUCACAGAGCUCACACUCACAGAGCUCACACACACAGAGCUCACACUCAAAGCUCACACUUAGAGCUCACACUCACACAGAGAUCACACUCAGAGCUUACCCAGAGCUCACACUCACAGAGCUCACACUCACAUUCACAGAGCUCACACACACAGAGCUCACACUCAAAGCUCACACUCACAGAGCUCACACUCACACUCGGAGCGCACACUCACACUCACAGAGAUCACUCGGAGCUCACACUCAGAGCUCCUCACACUCCCAGAGCUCACACUCACGCUCCCAGAGCUCACACUCCCAGAGCUCACACUCACACUCACAGAGCUCACACACACAGAGCUCACACUCAGAGCUCACACUCACAGAGCUCACACUCCCAGAGCUCACACUCAGAGCUCACACUCACAGAGAUCACACUCAGAGCUCACACUGAGCUCAGACACACAUGGGAUACACGCGUGAACAGAGCUCACACUCCCAGAGCUCACACUCCCAGAGCUCACCCAGAGCUCACACUCACAGAGCUCACCCAGAGCUCACACUCACAGAGCUCACACUCACAGAGCUCACACUCACACUGACAGCUCACAGUCACACAUGGGACGCACACG